CCUACGGGCGGCAGCAGUGGGGAAUAUUGCACAAUGGUCGAAAGCCUGAUGCAGCAACGCCGCGUGAGCGAUGAAGGCCUUCGGGUCGUAAAGCUCUGUCCUCAAGGGAGAUAAUGACGGUACUUGUGGAGGAAUCCCCGGCUCACUACGUGCCAGCAGCCGCGGUAAUACGUAGGGGGCUGGCGUUAUCCGGAAUUACUGGGCGUAAAGGGGGCGUAGGUGGUUUCUUAAGUCAGAGGUGAAAGGCUACGGCUCAACCGUAGUAAGCCUUUGAAACUGGGGAACUUGAGUGCAGGAGAGGAGAGUGGAAUUCCUAGUGUAGCGGUGAAAUGCGUAGAUAUUAGGAGGAACACCAGUUGCGAAGGCGGCUCGCUGGACUGUAACUGACACUGAGGCACGAAAGCGUGGGGAGCAAACAGGAUUAGAUACCCGAGUAGUC
This 439-nucleotide ribosomal RNA is filed under the name uncultured bacterium. RNAcentral describes it as "partial 16S ribosomal RNA". It matches the Rfam family "Bacterial small subunit ribosomal RNA", at positions 338 to 795 of the family's 1533-position model. The record is from RNAcentral.